This 482-nucleotide ribosomal RNA is filed under the name uncultured bacterium. RNAcentral describes it as "partial 16S ribosomal RNA". It matches the Rfam family "Bacterial small subunit ribosomal RNA", at positions 30 to 507 of the family's 1533-position model. The record is from RNAcentral.
AUUGAACGCUGGCGGCAUGCCUUACACAUGCAAGUCGAACGGUAACGAGCCUUCGGGUGCCGACGAGUGGCGAACGGGUGAGUAAUACAUCGGAACGUGCCCGAUCGUGGGGGAUAACGAGGCGAAAGCUUUGCUAAUACCGCAUACGAUCUACGGAUGAAAGCAGGGGACCGCAAGGCCUUGCGCGGACGGAGCGGCCGAUGGCAGAUUAGGUAGUUGGUGGGAUAAAAGCUUACCAAGCCGAUGAUCUGUAGCUGGUCUGAGAGGAUGAUCAGCCACACUGGGACUGAGACACGGCCCAGACUCCUACGGGAGGCAGCAGUGGGGAAUUUUGGACAAUGGGCGCUAGCCUGAUCCAGCCAUGCCGCGUGCAGGAUGAAGGCCUUCGGGUUGUAAACUGCUUUUGUACGGAACGAAAAGCCUUCUUUUAAUACAGGAGGGUCAUGACGGUACCGUAAGAAUAAGCACCGGCUAACUACGUG